Molecule: non-coding RNA, 437 nt
Organism: Mobula hypostoma (lesser devil ray)
Lineage: Eukaryota; Metazoa; Chordata; Chondrichthyes; Myliobatiformes; Myliobatidae
Source: the annotation of a RefSeq genome assembly
ACACCAUGCGGCUGGGUUGCGUGGCUUUUGUGAUACUUUUCCUCCGCAGAUGUCUCGGUGCUGAAUUGACACAGUCUCCGAUGUCCAUCACCGAAAAUGUGGGCAAUCGGACACGCAUGACCUGCGAUCUGGGAUCAGCGAAUACGGACUAUAUCCACUGGUACCGGCAGUCAGAUGGGCAACGCCCAGUCAGGAUCCUCUAUUACAGUAAUGGGGUUAUCGUACGCGACGAUGGAAUUGAUGACAGAUUUAAAGCGAGCAAAGGUGGACCAAAGCAGAAUAGUCUAACUGUGACCCGUCUCGAGAAAGAGGAUUCCGGCACCUAUUACUGUGCCUAUUGGGACCCACAGAGUUAAACUGCAACCGGCGCCGCUGACAAAAACUCUUCCUCAGCGUAGAGGUCACACGAAUCAUUUCCAACUCAGCGAAUUCGCAGC